UUCUGGACAGUACAGACAGUGCUGGGUUUGGGAAUACUGCUUGGAAACAGUUGGUGGUUGUGCUGGGGGUUUGAUUGGGAGUUUGAAAGACAGGGAAGGAUGAGAGGAUAUGCAGAGACAAGCACUACCUUGGGGCUGCUUUUUCAAAUCUGGUACAGUGCCUGGGCUGUGGUGUUCCAUUGAGAAGACCAGCGUGACACUGCUGAGCACCCUCCUCCGGCUGGAAGAAACGGAGGCUUUAAAACUUUUCACCCGUACUGCCUGUCCCUGAUUAUCCAGAUGAUGCAAACACAGGAGUUCCUUUUGCCAGCAGAGCAAGACAAGGAAGCCAAAGGACAUUGUUGAUGUUUGAUGGCAGUCUGCAGUUCCUAUUUACACACUUUAAAAUCACAGAGGGUGACCAUCUGCUUCCUUCUGGAUGAUUACGAAGAGACGUGGGAUUCACAAACCAAGGAACUGUCCUUGACCAUUCAUAAACAACCACCAAACGGUCCUGCCCAAAACAGCACAAAGGAGAAAGACGCUCACACGGAAUACGCAGUACAACUGCCCAGCACAGAUGAAGUGGAAAGGAGGAAAAUGGAUGCGCCCUACAAUCCAUCUCCAUUUUCCUGCCAAUCCGACCCGCUCCCCCCACUAUUAAUCUGGCCCGAAGCUCCACGGUGGCUCAGCAGAUAAACAAAGCCUCCCGCCCAGAAAUGCAGUGGAAGCCAGGGCUUUCAGCGGUGGAAUACAAAUGAAGGAGCUUUCCUGCCUUGUGACUGAAGGGGACCGAACUCGUGAUCACUAGCAGCUCGGUUCAGGCAUGCAAGUCACCAGCUCGCGGGAAAGCGGUGCUGGCCCAGGUCACAGCACACCGUGCGAGAAUGGAAACGCUGUUGUCGCCAGAGAACAAGCAGCUCAUGUGCUGACGGGGCAGAGGGAGGGCAUCUCACGGCGAGAUCAGCCUUGAUCUGCCACGGGAUUACAGGGGCCUCAGAGGCGGCUGAUUAAUAAUUCCGCAGGAGCCCUUGAGCUGCAAAGCUGGCGCUCUGAGUCUAACAAUCCCCAGUCCUAACACAAAGGAAGGACAAGAAUUGAACCACGGUUCUCAAUUGUGAAAUUCAGAAUUUGAAAGAAACAGGGAUCCACUUCUUCCUGACUGUGUUUGUCAAACUAGCUGCCUGCUUGUUUGUGUUAAAUGGCUACUGUGCUUUUUGAAUCCAAAAUCUGAUUAUAUUUAAUUAGUAUAGGCAUCUGGGAUU
Molecule: long non-coding RNA, 1244 nt
Organism: Cynocephalus volans (Philippine flying lemur)
Lineage: Eukaryota; Metazoa; Chordata; Mammalia; Dermoptera; Cynocephalidae
Exons: 3
Source: RefSeq, a predicted model, not a curated record